Molecule: non-coding RNA, 114 nt
Organism: Acanthosepion pharaonis
Lineage: Eukaryota; Metazoa; Mollusca; Cephalopoda; Sepiida; Sepiidae
Source: the annotation of a GenBank genome assembly
UUACGGCCAUAUCACGUUGAAACACCGGUUCCAGUAAGAUUAUCGAAGUUAAGCAACGUGGAGUCUGGUAGCUACCCAGAUGGGUUACCACUUGGGAAUACCAGGUGCUGUAAG